Camelus ferus (Wild Bactrian camel) is the source of this 73-nucleotide transfer RNA. It matches the Rfam family "tRNA". Rfam says of the family: Transfer RNA (tRNA) molecules are approximately 80 nucleotides in length. Their secondary structure includes four short double-helical elements and three loops (D, anti-codon, and T loops). The record is from Rfam. Lineage: Eukaryota; Metazoa; Chordata; Mammalia; Artiodactyla; Camelidae.
GAGGGUAUAGCUCAAGUGGUAGAGCGCAUGCUUAGCAUGCGUGCAGUCCUGGGUUCAAUCCCCAGUACCUCCU